RNAcentral lists this transfer RNA (76 nucleotides) under Pseudomonadota bacterium. Its description in RNAcentral is "Proteobacteria bacterium (wastewater metagenome) tRNA-Gly". It matches the Rfam family "tRNA". From Rfam's summary of the family: Transfer RNA (tRNA) molecules are approximately 80 nucleotides in length. Their secondary structure includes four short double-helical elements and three loops (D, anti-codon, and T loops). Further hydrogen bonds mediate the characteristic L-shaped molecular structure. tRNAs have two regions of fundamental functional importance: the anti-codon, which is responsible for specific mRNA codon recognition, and the 3' end, to which the tRNAs corresponding amino acid is attached (by aminoacyl-tRNA synthetases). tRNAs cope with the degeneracy of the genetic code in two manners: having more than one tRNA (with a specific anti-codon) for a particular amino acid; and 'wobble' base-pairing, i.e. permitting non-standard base-pairing at the 3rd anti-codon position. Lineage: Bacteria; Pseudomonadati; Pseudomonadota. The record is from RNAcentral.
GCGGCAGUAGCUCAGUUGGUAGAGCGUCACGUUGCCAACGUGAAGGUCGCCAGUUCGAACCUGGUUUGCCGCUCCA